UACGUAGGGUGCGAGCGUUGUCCGGAAUUACUGGGCGUAAAGGGCGCGUAGGCGGCCAUCUAAGUCAGACGUGAAAUCCCCCGGCUUAACCUGGGAACUGCGUCUGAUACUGGACGGCUUGAGUUUGGGAGAGGGAUGCAGAAUUCCAGGUGUAGCGGUGAAAUGCGUAGAUAUCUGGAGGAAUACCGGUGGCGAAGGCGGCAUCCUGGACCAACACUGACGCUGAGGCGCGAAAGCUAGGGGAGCAAACGGG
Molecule: ribosomal RNA, 253 nt
Filed under: uncultured bacterium
Lineage: Bacteria
Description: partial 16S ribosomal RNA
Rfam family: Bacterial small subunit ribosomal RNA
Source: RNAcentral